RNAcentral lists this ribosomal RNA (277 nucleotides) under uncultured bacterium. RNAcentral's name for it is "partial 16S ribosomal RNA". It matches the Rfam family "Bacterial small subunit ribosomal RNA", at positions 15 to 291 of the family's 1533-position model. The record is from RNAcentral.
GAUCCUGGCUCAGGAUGAACGCUGGCGGCGCGCCUAACACAUGCAAGUCAAACGAGUAAGACGCCUUCGGGCGUGGAUAGAGUGGCGAACGGGUGAGUAACACGUGACCAACCUGCCCCCUCCUCCGGGACAACCUCGGGAAACCGAGGCUAAUACCGGAUACUCCGGGCACCCCGCAUGGGAUGCCCGGGAAAGCCCUGGCGGGAGGGGAUGGGGUCGCGGCCCAUCAGGUAGACGGCGGGGUAACGGCCCACCGUGCCUGCAACGGGUAGCCGGG